UCAGCUAUAGAGGAUGUAACUUUUUUGUUUAAAAUAUCUAUUAAAAUGCCAAACGCAUAUCUAUAAAAACCAUGAUCUGCACAGAUGAUUUGUUCUCGUCUUGCAUUAUUUGGAGAUGUAUAAGCUCCAUUAAAGUUCAAUAUGUAGCAUGUUGUUUUUUUUUUUAACUGAAGACACAAAAGUAAAAACAUCGUCAUCAUCAGGAACGAAAGCAAACUAGAGGGUGGCUGGUAAAAUGAAUUUAAUUCUUGUGUUUGUCUCCCAGAUGGAUUCAUUACAGGGUGAAGACUGCAGACACACACACACACACACACACACUGUAUAUUCCCCUGCUAAACACACAGUUUGUCUUUUUGGACAGCAAACAAGAAGAGUUUCAGGCACUAAUUGGACGAUCAGUUUGUGUGUGUGUGUGAUUAUUUGGGAGCGUGCCAGAGCUUCUUUAGUUUGGCUGAGAUGAUUGCCUCCAUUCUGCUCAAUAUUGACACAGAUUAAACUGGGUGAAAUGACAACGUCUGGUCUGACAUUCAGCAGGACAAAAGGCUCCCCAGGAGGCGCCGGAGAGUUCAGGGAACCAGUAAAGAGCAGGUGUCAGAGUGUCAGAGUGUUAUGUCAUCACCAGUACAGCCGAGGUGUGUUUGACUUGACGCAGCCUCCGGAGACGAGUGAAGCUGAUUCUACUGACCUCAUCAACAAACUAACUAACGGAGAGUAAACCAGUGCGUUCGCUGCUGCAGAGGAAGAACGGUUCCCUGCAGCCAGUCAGUCCUGUGGAUAAGUGUGUGUGUGUGUGUGUGUGUGUGUGUGUUUAAGGGUGAUUGCAGGAUCAUGUGGGUGCAGCUUUGCUUCGCCAGCCUCCAUCUCUGUAGCCUUUCCUCCAUCUGCCUGCCGCCAUAAAACUGAACGACGGACGGACGGCGGCAUUAAAAGCAACACACACACACACACACACACACACACACACACACACACACACAUAUAUACGUCUUGUCGUCCUGCCAUUAAAGGGAACUGGCGAGCAUCAGGAGACGGAAAUGGUGAUUGGAGCGUUAGACCUUCUAUAAGCGUCACACAGGCUCAGCUAAUAUCUGUCUGGUGACACUAUUGAUACCCUCCCGAUCAGAUUCUUCUAUAUUUUACCAAUUUUGAUUCAAAUUGUCAUCCUGUUUGUCAAUUAUGUAUUUCUGUAAUUUUAUUAUCUGGUCUAUUCUGCACACACAAAGUCUAUUUCCUGUCCGGAAUCCCUCCUCUGUUGCUCUUCCUGAGCUUUCUACCACUUUUUCCCCCCCUUUAAGGGUUUUUUUUUUAGGGACUUUUCCUGUUUCAAACCAAGGAUGUUGUAUUGCUGUACAGAUUGUAAAGCCCCUGACUGGAUAUAUAAGAACAUUAACAUACACAAGUACAUCAUGCAAAUAUUCACACUGAUACAUGAGACACACAGAAAUACUCACAAACAUACAACAGACUUCAGACUGUUGGAAACCAACACUGUUUUCCUAGAAAUUACCUUCAAAUGCGACUUAAUCGUUUUCCUAAUUAUGUUGCGUUAACAAACGUAAUCGCCGCCUGAAUUAUAAACAGCUGAAAUCAAACAAGAACAUCUAGAUUCUGCUCCAGAAAUAAGAAAACCUCAUUAAAAACCUCAUUAACACGUGUAGCUUCCUUGACAAUAUGUCAUGUAGCUUCACUUCAUAUGUUUAGAUAAGAACAUAGAAACAUCCAAUAUUAUGUUUUUUAUGUUAACAUCAUUUCCAAUAAGUCCUCUCUGAGUGAGUGGAGUGGCGGCGGCGGCGGCGGCGGGUUCAGACAUGUCUGUAAUAACAGCAGGACGGAUAAACGUCUUCACACAGCUCAGAUUACAGCUGCAAACAUCAACAAUGACUGCUGAUGACUUUCAUUUAUCUACAUAAAAUAAUCCUAGUUGUUGUUUUGUCAUAUUUAAAUUUAGUGAUGUCAUGAUAGCCAUCUUUGUGUGACUGGUUUCCUGGAAUCACUGUUGUGGGUUGUUGAAACCAGUUAGAACAAAGAAACCUUUAAUGUGCUGAACUUCCAUGUGACAAGGCUCUCUGGCUAUUAUUCUUAUUGCUAUGUUUGAUUUUUGAUUUUUUAUUGGCACAUUUGGUUUCACCGCUGGUUUCUACUAGCAGAUAUUUUACUGCAACAACAAGGUACAUUGUCUCUGAACAUUUCACUCAUAUGUUCAGUAUCAACAUUUUUGCAAAUUAUAAACAUUAAUUAACAACAUUUUUUCAUCUUGUUGAGAGAAAAUGUGACUCAGCAGCGUUACGUUUCUAACAAAACGUAUUUGCUGUUGCAGUUUAGUUGUAUAGGAACAUAAUUUCUAGGAGAGAGUUGUGGAAGCUGAGUCUUUAUUCAUGGAGCUAGGCUAGCUAUUUCCCCUGCUUGCAGUCUGUAUGCUAAGCUAAGCUAACCAGCUGUUGCACACUGUUGCAUCGAGUUCUUGCAUUGUUUUCUAAACAAAAAUGUCUUUUAGAGGAUUAUUUUUAUUUAUUUAUAUGUAUCAAUCUGUCAUAUUUCCAAUGUUCUGUUAGGAUUUGGCUGUUGGUACGGAUUCCUCCGUGUCAAUAGUCUGUUUAUUGUUGGCUGCAUUCAGACCAUAUUAGGCGGUGCAGCUCACUGCUGAAGGGUUGAGUGGAGGGGUGUGGGUGUGUUUGUGCUGU
Molecule: long non-coding RNA, 2681 nt
Organism: Thunnus maccoyii (southern bluefin tuna)
Lineage: Eukaryota; Metazoa; Chordata; Actinopteri; Scombriformes; Scombridae
Exons: 3
Source: RefSeq, a predicted model, not a curated record